UGAGGAAUAUUGGUCAAUGGGCGGAAGCCUGAACCAGCCAAGUCGCGUGAGGGAAUAAGGCCCUACGGGUCGUAAACCUCUUUUGCCGGGGAGCAAGGGCGGGGACGUGUCCCGGCCCGGAGAGUACCCGGAGAAAAAGCAUCGGCUAACUCCGUGCCAGCAGCCGCGGUAAUACGGAGGAUGCGAGCGUUAUCCGGAUUUAUUGGGUUUAAAGGGUGCGUAGGCGGGCUUUUAAGUCAGCGGUAAAAAUUCGGGGCUCAACCCCGUCCGGCCGUUGAAACUGGGGGCCUUGAGUGGGCGAGA
This 303-nucleotide ribosomal RNA is filed under the name uncultured bacterium. RNAcentral describes it as "bacterial SSU rRNA". It matches the Rfam family "Bacterial small subunit ribosomal RNA", at positions 355 to 655 of the family's 1533-position model. The record is from RNAcentral.